Molecule: transfer RNA, 84 nt
Filed under: Tetragenococcus koreensis
Lineage: Bacteria; Bacillati; Bacillota; Bacilli; Lactobacillales; Enterococcaceae
Description: tRNA-Tyr
Rfam family: tRNA
About the family: Transfer RNA (tRNA) molecules are approximately 80 nucleotides in length.
Source: RNAcentral
GGAGGAGUGGCGAAGUGGCUAAACGCGGCGGACUGUAAAUCCGUUCCUUCGGGUUCAAAGGUUCGAAUCCUUUCUCCUCCACCA